AAAUAUUAAAUAAUAAAACAAAAUCCUCAUAACUUGGAGACAUAAAAUAACCUAGUUUUUUUUUAUAAAUAGGCUAAAGUAGUGACAAAUUAGGAUUGCCCACUAUUUUACCGAAACAGAAAAAUAAAAUAGAGAAGAAAAGAGAGGAUUCAUGAGAGAAAGAAAGAGGAGAAAAACCACGGAGAUCACUACUAGACAGGUUUUCAGGUAAACAAUGAUGCUUAGCUGAGAGUCCGGAGAUGGCAUUAGGAGCUGUCUUCCUUUUGCGUUUUCAAUAAUUGAGUCGCUCUGCUAGGAAGUCCUAUGGGAGAACUCUAAAUUUUAUUUUAGUUGAUUUAUUGCUUUACGAAUUUUUAAAUUGAACCGUGGUGUUUACCUUAGUAAUUUGAAUCUUUCGGACAAAUUAGUUUUGUUUAUGAGUUUGUUUCCGCUGCAUUUUUAUUAAAGAGACAUUUUACAAAUAAAAUUAAAGGGUAAAAA
Trifolium pratense (red clover) is the source of this 480-nucleotide long non-coding RNA. RefSeq lists it as uncharacterized. The record is from RefSeq and is a predicted model, not a curated record. The transcript is spliced from 2 exons. NCBI's taxonomy places the organism in Eukaryota, Viridiplantae, Streptophyta, Magnoliopsida, Fabales, Fabaceae.